UGGCGGCGUGCUUAACACAUGCAAGUCGAACGAGGGAAUUCUUUUCGGAGAAUAUACCGAGUGGCAAACGGGUGAGUAACGCGUAGGCAACCUGCCUUCAAGAUGGGGACAACAGUCCGAAAGGGCUGCUAAUACCGAAUGACAUGUCUGAACCGCAUGGGACGGACAGCAAAGACGGCCUCCAAGCUAUGCUGUCGCUUGAAGAUGGGCCUGCGUCUGAUUAGCUAGUUGGUGAGAUAACAACCCACCAAGGCGACGAUCAGUAGCCGGUCUGAGAGGAUGAACGGCCACAUUGGGACUGAGACACGGCCCAGACUCCUACGGGAGGCAGCAGUGGGGAAUCUUCCGCAAUGGGCGAAAGCCUGACGGAGCAACGCCGCGUGAGUGAAGAAGGUCUUCGGAUCGUAAAGCUCUGUUGAAGGGGACGCACGGCGCCUGUUACAAGAUAGCAGGUGAAUGACGGUACCCUUCGAGGAAGCCACGGCUAACUACGUG
This 495-nucleotide ribosomal RNA is filed under the name uncultured bacterium. RNAcentral's name for it is "bacterial SSU rRNA". It matches the Rfam family "Bacterial small subunit ribosomal RNA", at positions 37 to 507 of the family's 1533-position model. The record is from RNAcentral.